UCUGAGCGUCGGCCCCGGGUGCGAGUCCGGCCUUUGGCGUAGUAUGGGGGGGCGAGGGCUCUGGAAGGAGCGGGGCAGCGAGUGAACCGCAGGCCAACCUCGGCCUGACCUCCGACUGACGGACUGCGGAGCGGGCGAGGGCGUGUCUGUCCGAGCUGUGUAAGCCGCAACGCCUUUCCGCUUGCUGUGCGGUUUAAUGGGAGUUAAUGGCGACGUAAAUGGUACUCAAGGUGGCUUCAAAGGUUCUCUAGUUUAUCCUCAUGACAACCACCCUUGAGGAUCCCAGGAAAUUUGGAAGAACAGAAAACAGCAUCAUUUAAGGAUACUGCAGCAAUAUGCAGUUGAUCAGCAUUCUUUUGUUACUCACUAGAUGUCUAGGCCAGGCUGCUGCAGCCACAACUCACAACAGGGUUGCUACACCUUUGACUUGCAAGACUGAUCAUCCAUGAAAUACAAGAAACAGGGAUGGAGGAAGAAAUAAUCAAGGGUGAAGAAGAAAGAGACAGUGAAUAUAGGGAGCAGUUUGUUCCCAGCACAGACACUGACAUACAGCAACCUCUUUAAGUUAAUCUUCUGAACUUCAAAGACUCCCCUUCAGAACACUUCUGAGUACAUGUGAGACACAGAAGAACCUUUUGCAUCUGUCUAUAGUGUGACAACAUUCUUCAUGUUUUGGACAAUGAAGGAAUCAGGGGAGAAUAUGGCUGGAUCAUAUUCUGCUCAGAAAGACUUUAGAAUUCAGCUUAAUGUGUUAUGAUGACAAAGAAAAACUCCUGGGCCUGAGAUAUAUUUACUGCAUGUAGUUCUACAGUUUGAUAUGCACUGUACAUAUGUCUAUAUAGCUCUUAAAAGAUCAAUAUACUAAAAUAAUACCUCAUGUGAGACUUAACAUCCAGCAGUUCCAACGAAGUCACCCUGGGUUCUCCAGCAAGGUUCUGCAAAAUCUUAAGUCUGGGGCCACAGUGUUUGUAGAACUCAGUACAGAUAUUCAACAGGGACUCACGGGGACGCCUGAACUCUUCCCUAGCAAUGCGUUCAUCAAGUUCCUCCCGCUGAAGUCCUUGGCCUUCCUCCAGCAAGUGAAGGUUUUCCCUGAAAGAGGCAGAAUGGAAAAGCGAAGGUAAAGAAAAUGUGAGAAUGAAUGAAAAGUUUGUAAUGAACCCCUCCUUAUGAACAGCUAGGAAUGUACCUGUGAGGUUAAUCAUGACUUGAUGUAAGUAAUUUCUUCCAUGAAGGAAAGGAAGAAUAAACAAUUCAGGAGCUAAAAAGAGA
Molecule: long non-coding RNA, 1272 nt
Organism: Varanus komodoensis (Komodo dragon)
Lineage: Eukaryota; Metazoa; Chordata; Lepidosauria; Squamata; Varanidae
Exons: 6
Source: RefSeq, a predicted model, not a curated record